AACGAACGCUGGCGGCAGGCCUCAAACAUGCAAGUCUAGGGGGUGUAGCAAUACAUCACCGGCGGACGGGUGCGUAACGCGUGGGAAUAUACCUAUCGAUUCGGAACAACUGAGGGAAACUUCAGCUAAUACCGAAUACGUCCUAACGGAGAAAGAUUUAUCGUCGAUAGAUUAGCCCGCGUUCGAUUAGCUAGUUGGUGGGGUAAACGGCCCACCAAGGCGACGAUCGAUAGCUGUUCUGAGAGGAAGAUCAGCCACACUGGGACUGAGACACGGCCCAGACUCCUACAGGAGGCAGCAGUUGGGAAUCUUGGACAAUGGGGGAAACCCUGAUCCAGCCAUGCCGCGUGAGUGAUGAAGGCCUUCGGGUUGUAAAACUCUUUCGCGCACGACGAUAAUGACGGUAGUGCGAGAAGAAGCUCCGGCUAACUUCGUGCCAGCAGCCGCGGUAAU
RNAcentral lists this ribosomal RNA (453 nucleotides) under uncultured bacterium. RNAcentral describes it as "bacterial SSU rRNA". It matches the Rfam family "Bacterial small subunit ribosomal RNA", at positions 29 to 524 of the family's 1533-position model. The record is from RNAcentral.